ACAUCCAAAUCUUACUUAGUUUUGAUAAAAGAAAGGUUUUGAAAUUAGAUUUCAAAAUAUUCCUUAUUAAAAGAAUCUGUUCUUAUCCAAAUCAGCCUCUCCACGCCAACUUAUUUUUUUCUCCUUAUGUGUGUGAUAUUUUGAGGAGAUUUUUUAUGAGGUAGAGAACUAAUUUACCAUAAAAAAAUAUGGAAAGGGGUGUCUAAUUUUUUUUUGAUAUAUUUUGGUAUGAAUUUUUGAGUAGGGGCGAC
This 251-nucleotide long non-coding RNA is filed under the name Elaeis guineensis (African oil palm). RNAcentral describes it as "long non-coding RNA (EGUI_LNC062288)". The record is from RNAcentral. Lineage: Eukaryota; Viridiplantae; Streptophyta; Magnoliopsida; Arecales; Arecaceae.